CCCUGGUUAGAUCAGUUUGUAGAGCGCUCCACUGGAAAUGGAGAGGUCCCGUGUUCGAUACCCGGACAAGGCG
Ixodes scapularis (black-legged tick) is the source of this 73-nucleotide non-coding RNA. NCBI's taxonomy places the organism in Eukaryota, Metazoa, Arthropoda, Arachnida, Ixodida, Ixodidae. The record is from Rfam.